UAGUUCGUGGGUUGGCCUGUCAGCUUGAUUGCGGUAACGAACGAGACCUUUUGGUCAGUUUUAGGAUGGUUGUGGGGGGGGUGGGUCGGAGGUUUGUUUGGGUUUUCUCGAGCGAGCACCCCCAUCCCCCAAAGACCAAACCCUACAAUGACCGACGACAGGCGAUUAGCCUGUGGAAGCAGGAGGCAAAAACAGGU
This 197-nucleotide ribosomal RNA is filed under the name uncultured Chlorophyta. RNAcentral describes it as "partial small subunit ribosomal RNA". It matches the Rfam family "Eukaryotic small subunit ribosomal RNA", at positions 1295 to 1461 of the family's 1831-position model. Lineage: Eukaryota; Viridiplantae; Chlorophyta. The record is from RNAcentral.